GACGAACGCUGGCGGCGUGCUUAACACAUGCCAGUCGAACGGAAAGGCCCUGCUUUUGUGGGGUGCUCGAGUGGCGAACGGGUGAGUAACACGUGAGUAACCUGCCCUUGACUUUGGGAUAACUUCAGGAAACUGGGGCUAAUACCGGAUAGGAGCUCCUGCUGCAUGGUGGGGGUUGGAAAGUUUCGGCGGUUGGGGAUGGACUCGCGGCUUAUCAGCUUGUUGGUGGGGUAGUGGCUUACCAAGGCUUUGACGGGUAGCCGGCCUGAGAGGGUGACCGGCCACAUUGGGACUGAGAUACGGCCCAGACUCCUACGGGAGGCAGCAGUGGGGAAAAUUGCACAAUGGGCGGAAGCCUGAUGCAGCAACGCCGCGUGCGGGAUGACGGCCUUCGGGUUGUAAACCGCUUUCGCCUGUGACGAAGCGUGAGUGACGGUAAUGGGUAAAGAAGCACCGGCUAACUACGUG
This 468-nucleotide ribosomal RNA is filed under the name uncultured bacterium. Its description in RNAcentral is "partial 16S ribosomal RNA". It matches the Rfam family "Bacterial small subunit ribosomal RNA", at positions 28 to 507 of the family's 1533-position model. The record is from RNAcentral.